GCUGACCGGAAGCUUGUGGUCAAGUGAUAAGGGAAAGUAUUUGGAAUGUCACCAUAUUUCAGGUUCGAUCUACCUGUCAUGUGACACUAAGUUACAUUUUCCUGAUCACUCUAGACGGAUAUGGACUACUGCAUUUCGACCCAUUUGAAUACCCGAGAAAUGGUCUAUCUGUGGGCUACCUCCCACCUGGGGGUUAGGUUUGUGUCUUUAAUAAACCCGAGCUUAAUCCAUUUUUUU
RNAcentral lists this long non-coding RNA (237 nucleotides) under Brassica napus (rape). Its description in RNAcentral is "long non-coding RNA (BNAP_LNC005434)". Lineage: Eukaryota; Viridiplantae; Streptophyta; Magnoliopsida; Brassicales; Brassicaceae. The record is from RNAcentral.